GUGCUCGCUCCAGCAGCACAUGUGCUAAAAUUGGAAUGAUAGAAGAUUAGCAUCGCCCCUGCACAAGGAUAACACGCAAAUUCGUGAAACGUUCCAUAUUUUU
Vicugna pacos (alpaca) is the source of this 103-nucleotide small nuclear RNA. The record is from RefSeq and is a predicted model, not a curated record. Lineage: Eukaryota; Metazoa; Chordata; Mammalia; Artiodactyla; Camelidae.